Felis catus (domestic cat) is the source of this 73-nucleotide non-coding RNA. Lineage: Eukaryota; Metazoa; Chordata; Mammalia; Carnivora; Felidae. The record is from Rfam.
GCCUGGCUGGCUCAGUCGGUAGAGCAAGUGACUCUUGAUCUCGGAGUUGUAAGUUCAAGCCCCACGUUGGGUG